RNAcentral lists this ribosomal RNA (407 nucleotides) under uncultured bacterium. RNAcentral's name for it is "partial 16S ribosomal RNA". It matches the Rfam family "Bacterial small subunit ribosomal RNA", at positions 29 to 526 of the family's 1533-position model. The record is from RNAcentral.
AUUGAACGCUGGCGGCAGGCCUAACACAUGCAAGUCGAGCGGAGCGGCGGACGGGUGAGUAAUGCCUAGGAAUCUGCCUGGUUGUGGGGGAUAACGUCCGGAAACGGGCGCUAAUACCGCAUACUAUCAGAUGAGCCUAGGUCGGAUGAGCUAGUUGGUGGGGUAAUGGCCGACCAAGGCGACGAUCCGUAACUGGUCUGAGAGGAUGAUCAGUCAGACUGGAACUGAGACACGGUCAAGACGCAUACGGGAGGCAGGAGUGGGGAAUAUUGGACAAUGGGCGAAAGCCUGAAGCAGCCAUGCCGCGUGAGUGAAGAAGGUCUUCGGAAUGUAAAGCACGUUAAGUUGGGAGGCGUUACCAACAGAAUAAGCACCGGCUAACUUCGUGCCAGCAGCCGCGGUAAUAC